UCAUGGCGCCCCGAACCCUCCUCCUGCUGCUCUCAGGGACCCUGGCCCUGACCCAGACUUGGGCGCGCUCCCACUCCAUGAGGUAUUUCUACACCACCAUGUCCCGGCCCGGCCGCGGGGAGCCCCGCUUCAUCUCCGUCGGCUACGUGGACGAUACGCAGUUCGUGCGGUUUGACAGCGACGACGCGAGUCCGAGAGAGGAGCCGCGGGCGCCGUGGAUGGAGCGGGAGGGGCCGGAGUAUUGGGACCGGAACACACAGAUCUGCAAGGCCCAGGCACAGACUGAACGAGAGAACCUGCGGAUGGCGCUCCGCUACUACAACCAGAGCGAGGGCUGUUCUCACACCAUGCAGGUGAUGUAUGGCUGCGACGUGGGGCCCGACGGGCGCUUCCUCCGCGGGUAUGAACAGCACGCCUACGACGGCAAGGAUUACAUCGCUCUGAACGAGGACCUGAGCUCCUGGACCGCGGCGGACAUGGCAGCUCAGAUCACCAAGCGCAAGUGGGAGGCGGCCCGUCGGCCGGAGCAGUUGAGAGCCUACCUGGAGGGCGAGUUCGUGGAGUGGCUCCGCAGAUACCUGGAGAACGGGAAGGAGACGCUGCAGCGCGCGGACCCCCCCAAGACACAUAUGACCCACCACCCCAUCUCUGACCAUGAGGCCACCCUGAGGUGCUGGGCCCUGGGCUUCUACCCUGCGGAGAUCACACUGACCUGGCAGCGGGAUGGGGAGGACCAGACCCAGGACACGGAGCUCGUGGAGACCAGGCCUGCAGGGGAUGGAACCUUCCAGAAGUGGGCGGCUGUGGUGGUGCCUUCUGGAGAGGAGCAGAGAUACACCUGCCAUGUGCAGCAUGAGGGUCUGCCCGAGCCCCUCACUCUGAGAUGGGAGCCAUCUUCCCAGCCCACCGUCCCCAUCGUGGGCAUCGUUGCUGGCCUGGUUCUACUUGUAGCUGUGGUCACUGGAGCUGUGGUCGCUGCUGUAAUGUGGAGGAAGAAGAGCUCAGAUAGAAAAGGAGGGAGCUACUCUCAGGCUGCAAGCAGCAACAGUGCCCAGGGCUCUGAUGUGUCUCUCAUGGCUUGAAAGUGUGAGACAGCUGCCUUGUG
Molecule: RNA transcript, 1105 nt
Organism: Pan troglodytes (chimpanzee)
Lineage: Eukaryota; Metazoa; Chordata; Mammalia; Primates; Hominidae
Gene: PATR-H
Gene name: major histocompatibility complex, class I, H (pseudogene)
Exons: 8
Source: RefSeq, marked provisional